RNAcentral lists this ribosomal RNA (430 nucleotides) under Pseudomonadota bacterium. RNAcentral describes it as "Proteobacteria bacterium partial 16S ribosomal RNA". It matches the Rfam family "Bacterial small subunit ribosomal RNA", at positions 355 to 776 of the family's 1533-position model. Lineage: Bacteria; Pseudomonadati; Pseudomonadota. The record is from RNAcentral.
UGGGGAAUAUUGGACAAUGGGCGGAAGCCUGAUCCAGCCAUGCCGCGUGUGUGAAGAAGGCCUUUUGGUUGUAAAGCACUUUAAGCGAGGAGGAGGCUCUUCUAGUUAAUACCUAGGAUGAGUGGACGUUACUCGCAGAAUAAGCACCGGCUAACUCUGUGCCAGCAGCCGCGGUAAUACAGAGGGUGCGAGCGUUAAUCGGAUUUACUGGGCGUAAAGCGUGCGUAGGCGGCUGAUUAAGUCGGAUGUGAAAUCCCCGAGCUUAACUUGGGAAUUGCAUUCGAUACUGGUUAGCUAGAGUGUGGGAGAGGAUGGUAGAAUUCCAGGUGUAGCGGUGAAAUGCGUAGAGAUCUGGAGGAAUACCGAUGGCGAAGGCAGCCAUCUGGCCUAACACUGACGCUGAGGUACGAAAGCAUGGGGAGCAAACAGG